Molecule: unclassified non-coding RNA, 211 nt
Filed under: Ascomycota sp.
Lineage: Eukaryota; Fungi; Ascomycota
Description: partial contains small subunit ribosomal RNA, internal transcribed spacer 1, and 5.8S ribosomal RNA
Rfam family: Eukaryotic small subunit ribosomal RNA (bases 1-47)
Source: RNAcentral
AAAGUCGUAACAAGGUUUCCGUAGGUGAACCUGCGGAAGGAUCAUUACAGAGUUCAUGCCCUCACGGGUAGAUCUCCCACCCUUGAAUUAUACUACAUUGUUGCUUUGGCAGCCGUCAAACGCUGCCAGAGGAUAAACCAAACCCUUUUUAACGUGUCGUCUGAGUACUAUAUAAUAGUUAAAACUUUCAACAACGGAUCUCUUGGUUCUG